Apis cerana (Asiatic honeybee) is the source of this 2649-nucleotide long non-coding RNA. RefSeq lists it as uncharacterized. Lineage: Eukaryota; Metazoa; Arthropoda; Insecta; Hymenoptera; Apidae. The record is from RefSeq and is a predicted model, not a curated record.
GACCUGAUUGUAUGAAUCUGCUUUCUUAAGAGGUAUCCAUAAAUUUCUCUGUAUACGGAGAUGGAUUCAAGAAAAACAUUGGAUCGGCGGAAGACCGAGGUUCUACCCGUUUUGGAAAAUGUUCUCGAUUCGUUAGAAUACCGAGAACUGUCGCAUUAACGAGGCCAAUAACGGUGCCGGCAGGUGCCACGUGCCAAGUUACAUACCACUGUCGCUGUCCAUCAUCGUUCUUACUUUCUUGCUCUCGGACGUGCAAUUUUGAAUGAAAUCUACGUAACACCACACUGGGUGCCACUAUUGUAUCUUCGAUGAGAAAGCAGGCCGCAACAAAACGAACAAACGUGACUAAUGUAGAGAAUAAGAUAUGAGCGAAAAUUAUAGAUUGGAAUUAUAAUAUUAGAAUCUCUAAUAUGUUCAUCCCUUUUGAAGUUUAUUCAAAACUUUUGGAAAUCAAGGGAUAAAGGAAUAAACUGGCAUUACGAAUGAAUACACGGAUUGAUUUGGCUGGCUGUUAAUCGGUUUAAAGACGACGACGAGGAAGCGUGCCACGACCGGAUUUUCUCCAACCCCGGUAAAAUCAAUUUUUUCUGAACGCGUUCGUUGGCCUCCCUUUCCGUUUUUUCAUGCGCCGGAGAAGCCGAUAGCUCGGGAUCACUUCCGUGCCGAGGGUGAACAGCUGCCAAGGGAUUUUUCGACGAGGGUUUCCUCGAGCUGCAAAGGAAAUGACGGAAAAAACUUUCUAUUGCUGCAGAUACCGGCGUGAAAAAACAUUUAGUGAGAUGCAAAAAAGGAACAAAAGGGGGGAAAGAAGAGGAAAAAAAAAUGGCAUUGAAGAAUGCUAUGUAAAAUUGGAAAUCAAGACUUUAUGCGAUUAACGAUCAGAUAAAGAAUAGUGGACACCAUUUCUAAACUUAUUUAUAAUAUACUUCUAUAUAACUAUAUCUUUAAUUAGACACUUUGUCCGAAUUACCAUUAUUUUCUCCGGAAUAUCGUAAUUUUUAAUUUACAUCUCGAACUUAAUUCCAGUGUCACGCGCAACGCUUAUCGUAACAUUAUGCAUAACUUCCUUAAAAAAUAUUCAACGACCGCGUAAAUCACCUCGAAAAAGAGAAAUCGCAACGCGAUAAGAGUAACACGGGGACGAGAUCCAUCAGGAAAGAAGUAAACGAUGCCCAGCAGCGUGUCUCCCUCCAUCAGUCAAAUUCGAUCACACGGUUGAUGGAUCGCAGGUGGACAAGCGUACUGUCUCGAACUGAAAUUCUCUGGUCACGGAUAAAUUAAAGUGAAAACUAUUUAAUUACGAGGUGGAAAUGUUUUAAACGAUAAAACAAACGAAUUAUUAUCAGUCACUUUUUUUUGGAAAUUUUAUAGAAUUUUGCCUACAUCUUUGAAGACUUAAUUUGAUGGAAUAAAAAUCUAUAUAAUUGAUUUUAAUUGCUUCUCGACGAAAGCAAGGAAAUUUUAGAUAAUUAACGAAAGAUCGAAUGGAUCAAUCUUGGAAACGUUGAAUAGUAAAAUGAUAGAUGAAAUGAUGCGUGAAAAUAGAAAAAUAUAGAAAUAUAAAGUGGAAAAGAAGGAAAGAAGUAAAGAAGGAAAAAGAGUUGUCGAUUAAUAAAAUUCAAGAAUGUUUCUCACGGUAUUAACGCGUAUUUUAAAAUUCGACACAGGUUACGCUCAUUUGUCGAUAAAUUGUUAAGUGUUGCUAAAUACAGUGUCGCAGCUGUUCCACGGUAGCGCGAGAAUUUUUGAGCAAAUGGCGUGGCAAGGAACAAGAAAAUGGGAUCCAAUAUAGUUUAUAGAUGAGGAUCACACGAAAAUAAACGUAACAAGACCGAGUGUUGUACGAGAAUUACGCCGCAUAAUUAACUUUCAUUGGUAAAGUGAAAGGCUAUUAUUUGGUAAUAAACUGGGCGUCGUAAUAAUACGAUAACAUAACAAUUUCGCGUUUCUUUUUAACGCGUAUCCCUGGCAAACGACCAUCGAUAAUGGCGCAAACAAACUCGCUCCGAUCAAGCGAUUAAUUACGAAAGUCGAAGGGGCACGUCGUCGUUGAUCCUAGAAGACGAAUGCCUUUUGUGUCUUUUCCAUUGUUCGCGCGUAUAAACACCCCUAACAGUCUUCGGUGGAGAAUCUUUUCAUGCGCUUCCCGUACGAAUCUUCCUCCCCUCCCCUUCCCCCUUUGCGCAUAUCGUCUUCCUUGUACGCAAACGAUCCGAUGAAAUCGCAACGGUCGUUUCUCGAUGAUGGAGAAUAGGACUGGGUCAACGGAAACGAGCUAGCAGAGAGUCCAGGUAUGGAUGGGCAGGUGUCGAUGAAACUCGAUGUGACUCGAGAACGAAAUAAACACGAUUCCAUCUUUGAUGAAAGGACUUGGCUUUUUGGGGAGGCGAAAGUGGCGAAUGUCGUGAAGAAUUUACGGAUUAUGGGAGAAGGGAGAUUGUUUGGAUUAGAAAUAUCGAGGGAUGAAGGGAAUGAUGAAUAAGUUUUUACAAUUUUGAAACUGAGGAUUAGGAGAGAGGAAAAAAAUGGCACUUUUCCAAGAAUAGAAGAAACAUAUUCUUUGGAGAACGUCCUCCUGUUUAUCCCUGAAAUCGAUUCGAAACAACGCUCCUUUUGCCUGGAGUCUAUUGAAGAUUAGGAGAGAGAAAA